Molecule: ribosomal RNA, 479 nt
Filed under: uncultured bacterium
Lineage: Bacteria
Description: bacterial SSU rRNA
Rfam family: Bacterial small subunit ribosomal RNA
Source: RNAcentral
GAUGAACGCUGGCGGCGUGCUUAACACAUGCAAGUCGAACGAAGCAAUUAUAAUGAAGUUUUCGGAUGGAUUUAUAAUUGACUUAGUGGCGGACGGGUGAGUAACGCGUGGGUAACCUGCCUCAUACAGGGGGAUAACAGUUGGAAACGACUGCUAAGACCGCAUAAGCCUACAGUCUCGCAUGAGACAGUAGGAAAAUAUUUAUAGGUAUGAGAUGGACCCGCGUCUGAUUAGCUAGUUGGUGAGGUAACGGCCCACCAAGGCGACGAUCAGUAGCCGACUUGAGAGAGUGAUCGGCCACAUUGGGACUGAGACACGGCCCAAACUCCUACGGGAGGCAGCAGUGGGGAAUAUUGCACAAUGGGGGAAACCCUGAUGCAGCGACGCCGCGUGAGUGAAGAAGUAUUUCGGUAUGUAAAGCUCUAUCAGCAAGGAAGAUAAUGACGGUACUUGACUAAGAAGCCCCGGCUAACUACGUG